Molecule: long non-coding RNA, 886 nt
Organism: Arvicola amphibius (Eurasian water vole)
Lineage: Eukaryota; Metazoa; Chordata; Mammalia; Rodentia; Cricetidae
Exons: 6
Source: RefSeq, a predicted model, not a curated record
GCCAUCUCUAGGAGUCGAGGCCAGCAUGUUUUGCAUAGUGAAUUCCAGCCAAUCAGAACUCAGAGAGAGAGAGACCAUGGCUCCGAAAUAAAAUAAAAUAAAGGGAAGAAAAGGAGUUCAAACUUAAGUCAGCACAACAUGAGGAGCUGUGUCGAAGGGUCUCAGCAUUCGGAAGGUUGAGAGCCACUGUUUGGACCUUCAUUAUCCUUACAGAAACAGUCACCGUGAAGGGUUGGGGACUCAGUCUCCUUGUUGGUUUUUGGGGACUCUUUGAUCUGAGCAUAACAUCUGGAGGCUUGUCCAGGACCCCUCAAGCCCACCGGUACCACCACCCUGUAGAAUCUUCAGCUAGCUGACAGAGACUCCCAAAUCCUAGCAGUGAACCAAGUUCUGCAGAAGAGAUUAUGGGACACCAUGAGGUCUCCACCUGGAUGAUGACAAUGCUGACCGCUGGGUGAGAUGUCCCAGUGCAACCCCGGCUGCCGGGACCCGGUCCAGACUGUGGACAAGUAACAAGACACUGGAGAACUGACUGCACCACUUUUGCCUAGACAAAAUAAGGGAAGAACACAAAUGGGUACCCCACCAUCACAAACUAUGCAAUCGAGUUUCCCAUAUUUGGGGAAAUAGCAGGGUCAGGAUGCAGAGUGCCCUGGAUAAGCCUCGCCCUGGGAAAACCACCUUCGUGAUCAUGGUAUCUCCCCUGCCAGCACCAAUCUACUUCAUGAAGAUGAUGGACAUCGAAGAGUCUCCUUAUCCUCUUGAUGACUUUGAUAGCCAUUUGGGCAAGAAACUGCUCUUGCCUGGACUGCUUGGUGCUAUGCGAUAUGAACUGGACAAGCAGGACCCUCAGAGAAAUGACUGCUGAACUUGCCUAACGGUGAGA